Molecule: ribosomal RNA, 465 nt
Filed under: Triticum aestivum (bread wheat)
Lineage: Eukaryota; Viridiplantae; Streptophyta; Magnoliopsida; Poales; Poaceae
Description: partial small subunit ribosomal RNA
Source: RNAcentral
AUGCCGGUGGUUCUUUGGUCGAUCAGGACGACGCCAAAUCGAGCCACUGGCCAGACACCUUUCGCUCUAGUCUAUGGAGCAGAGGCAGUUCUCCCAAUGGAACUCGUAUACGGGUCACCUCGAGUGCUCGCUUAUGAUGAGCUUGAGCAAGAGCAGCUUCGACAAGAUGACGCGCUGCUCCUUGAGGAGGACCGUCUUCAGGCUGCUGUACGAGCUGCUCGAUACCAGCAAGCUUUGCGCCGCUACCAUAGCCGCAAAUUUAAUGCCAGAAGUCUUGAGGAAGGCGACCUUGUUCUUCGGCGCGUUCAGUCCGCCAAGAAUUCCAACAAGUUGACACCAAAGUGGGAAGGCCCUUACCGGGUGAAACGAGUCACUAGGCCUGGCGCUGUCCGCAUUGAGACCGAAGAUGGCAUUCCGGUGAGCAACUCCUGGAACAUUGAGCAUCUUCGUAAGUUUUACCCGUAG